GAUGAACGCUGGCGGCGUGCUUAACACAUGCAAGUCGAACGAGAAGUGAAGACGGAAACCUUCGGGCGGAAGGCUUUAUUUCGAGUGGCGGACGGGUGAGUAACGCGUGGGUAACCUGCCUCAUACAGGGGGAUAACAGUUGGAAACGACUGUUAAUACCGCAUAAGACCACAGCACCGCAUGGUGCGGGGGUAAAAACUCCGGUGGUAUGAGAUGGACCCGCGUUCGAUUAGCCGGUUGGCGGGGUAACGGCCCACCAAAGCGACGAUCGAUAGCCGAUCUGAGAGGAUGACCGGCCACAUUGGGACUGAGACACGGCCCAAACUCCUACGGGAGGCAGCAGUGGGGAAUAUUGCACAAUGGGGGAAACCCUGAUGCAGCGACGCCGCGUGAGUGAAGAAGUAUUUCGGUAUGUAAAGCUCUAUCAGCAGGGAAGAAAAUGACGGUACCUGAGUAAGAAGCCCCGGCUAACUACGUG
Molecule: ribosomal RNA, 478 nt
Filed under: uncultured bacterium
Lineage: Bacteria
Description: partial 16S ribosomal RNA
Rfam family: Bacterial small subunit ribosomal RNA
Source: RNAcentral